This 1120-nucleotide ribosomal RNA is filed under the name Neisseria perflava. RNAcentral describes it as "bacterial SSU rRNA". It matches the Rfam family "Bacterial small subunit ribosomal RNA", at positions 30 to 1130 of the family's 1533-position model. The record is from RNAcentral. Lineage: Bacteria; Pseudomonadati; Pseudomonadota; Betaproteobacteria; Neisseriales; Neisseriaceae.
UGGGGGGGGGGGUGCCUUUUACACUUGCAAGUCGGACGGCAGCACAGAGAAGCUUGCUUCUUGGGUGGCGAGUGGCGAACGGGUGAGUAAUAUAUCGGAACGUACCGAGUAAUGGGGGAUAACUAAUCGAAAGAUUAGCUAAUACCGCAUAUUCUCUGAGGAGGAAAGCAGGGGACCUUCGGGCCUUGCGUUAUUCGAGCGGCCGAUAUCUGAUUAGCUAGUUGGUGGGGUAAAGGCCUACCAAGGCGACGAUCAGUAGCGGUGCUGAGAGGAUGAUCCGCCACACUGGGACUGAGACACGGCCCAGACUCCUACGGGAGGCAGCAGUGGGGAAUUUUGGACAAUGGGCGCAAGCCUGAUCCAGCCAUGCCGCGUGUCUGAAGAAGGCCUUCGGGUUGUAAAGGACUUUUGUCAGGGAAGAAAAGGCUGUUGCUAAUAUCGACAGCUGAUGACGGUACCUGAAGAAUAAGCACCGGCUAACUACGUGCCAGCAGCCGCGGUAAUACGUAGGGUGCGAGCGUUAAUCGGAAUUACUGGGCGUAAAGCGAGCGCAGACGGUUACUUAAGCAGGAUGUGAAAUCCCCGGGCUUAACCUGGGAACUGCGUUCUGAACUGGGUGACUAGAGUGUGUCAGAGGGAGGUAGAAUUCCACGUGUAGCAGUGAAAUGCGUAGAGAUGUGGAGGAAUACCGAUGGCGAAGGCAGCCUCCUGGGAUAACACUGACGUUCAUGCUCGAAAGCGUGGGUAGCAAACAGGAUUAGAUACCCUGGUAGUCCACGCCCUAAACGAUGUCAAUUAGCUGUUGGGCAACUUUGAUUGCUUAGUAGCGUAGCUAACGCGUGAAAUUGACCGCCUGGGGGAGUACGGUCGCAAGAUUAUAACUCAAAGGAAUUGACGGGGACCCGCACAAGCGGUGGAUGAUGUGGAUUAAUUCGAUGCAACGCGAAGAACCUUACCUGGUCUUGACAUGUACGGAAUUCUCCUAGAGACGGAGGAGUGCCUUCGGGAGCCGUUACCACAGGUUGCUGCAUGGCUGUCGUCUAGCUCUUGUUAGCGAAGAUGUGAGUUUAAUUGCCGCGACGGACGGCACCCCUUGAUCAUUAAUUGCCGUAUUUGUCUG